ACGGGGCGCAGCAGGCGCGAAACCUUUACACUGCACGACAGUGCGAUAAGGGGACUCCGAGUGCGAGGGCAUAUCGUCCUCGCUUUUCACUACCGUAAGGUGGUAGUAGAAUAAGUGCUGGGCAAGACCGGUGCCAGCAGCCGCGGUAAUA
This 151-nucleotide ribosomal RNA is filed under the name uncultured archaeon. Its description in RNAcentral is "partial 16S ribosomal RNA". It matches the Rfam family "Archaeal small subunit ribosomal RNA", at positions 325 to 475 of the family's 1478-position model. The record is from RNAcentral.